GAUUAUGGCUCAGGAUGAACGCUAGCUACAGGCUUAACACAUGCAAGUCGAGGGGCAGCAUUAUCGAAGCUUGCUUUGAUGGAUGGCGACCGGCGCACGGGUGAGUAACGCGUAUCCAACUUCCCCAUGGUAGGGCAUAGCCCGUAGAAAUGCGGAUUAAUACCCUAUGUAUUCCGAGGAUGACAUCUGAUUCGGAACAAAGGUUCACCGCUAUGGGAUGGGGAUGCGUCUGAUUAGGUAGUAGGCGGGGUAACGGCCCACCUAGCCGACGAUCAGUAGGGGUUCUGAGAGGAAGGUCCCCCACAUUGGAACUGAGACACGGUCCAAACUCCUACGGGAGGCAGCAGUGAGGAAUAUUGGUCAAUGGGCGAGAGCCUGAACCAGCCAAGUAAGCGUGCAGGACGACGGCCCUAUGGGUUGUAAACUGCUUUUAUACAGGGAUAAAGUCGGGGACGCGUUCCCCGUUUGCAGGUACUGUAUGAAUAAGGACCGGCUAAUUCCGUGCCAGCAGCGGC
RNAcentral lists this ribosomal RNA (515 nucleotides) under uncultured bacterium. Its description in RNAcentral is "bacterial SSU rRNA". It matches the Rfam family "Bacterial small subunit ribosomal RNA", at positions 15 to 518 of the family's 1533-position model. The record is from RNAcentral.